AAAGGCGCGCGAUACAGGGUGACAGCCCCGUACACAAAAGCGCAUGUGCUGUGAGCUCGAUGAGUAGGGCGGGACACGUGGUAUCCUGUCUGAAUAUGGGGGGACCAUCCUCCAAGGCUAAAUACUCCUGACUGACCGAUAGUGAACCAGUACCGUGAGGGAAAGGCGAAAAGAACCCCGGCGAGGGGAGUGAAAAAGAACCUGAAACCGUGUACGUACAAGCAGUGGGAGCCCCACCACUAAGCCAGUGGUGAACUCCACAUACGCAUCCUUUGCUGAGGAUACGGUUAACGGAGCGAAAGCGACGUUCAACCUCAAAAGAAGCAGAGGGGGCUUAGUGGUGGGGUGACUGCGUACCUUUUGUAUAAUGGGUCAGCGACUUAUAUUCUGUAGCAAGGUUAACCGAAUAGGGGAGCCGGAGGGAAACCGAGUCUUAACCGGGCGUUAAGUUGCAGGGUAUAGACCCGAAACCCGGUGAUCUAGCCAUGGGCAGGUUGAAGGUUGGGUAACACUAACUGGAGGACCGAACCGACUAAUGUUGAAAAAUUAGCGGAUGACCUGUGGCUGGGGGUGAAAGGCCAAUCAAACCGGGAGAUAGCUGGUUCUCCCCGAAAGCUAUUUAGGUAGCGCCUCGUGAAUUCAUCUCCGGGGGUAGAGCACUGUUUCGGCUAGGGGGCCAUCCCGGCUUACCAACCCGAUGCAAACUGCGAAUACCGGAGAAUGUUAUCACGGGAGACACACGGCGGGUGCUAACGUCCGUCGUGAAGAGGGAAACAACCCAGACCGCCAGCUAAGGUCCCAAAGUCAUGGUUAAGUGGGAAACGAUGUGGGAAGGCCCAGACAGCCAGGAUGUUGGCUUAGAAGCAGCCAUCAUUUAAAGAAAGCGUAAUAGCUCACUGGUCGAGUCGGCCUGCGCGGAAGAUGUAACGGGGCUAAACCAUGCACCGAAGCUGCGGCAGCGACGCUGAUGCGUUGUUGGGUAGGGGAGCGUUCUGUAAGCCUGCGAAGGUGGCCUGUGAGGGUUGCUGGAGGUAUCAGAAGUGCGAAUGCUGACAUAAGUAACGAUAAAGCGGGUGAAAAGCCCGCUCGCCGGAAGACCAAGGGUUCCUGUCCAACGUUAAUCGGGGCAGGGUGAGUCGACCCCUAAGGCGAGGCCGAAAGGCGUAGUCGAUGGGAAACGGGUUAAUAUUCCCGUACUUGGUGUUACUGCGAAGGGGGGACGGAGAAGGCUAUGUUGGCCGGGCGACGGUUGUCCCGGUUUAAGCGUGUAGGUGUGUGUUCCAGGUAAAUCCGGUUCACUUUAACACUGAGGCGUGAUGACGAGGCACUACGGUGCUGAAGCAACAAAUGCCCUGCUUCCAGGAAAAGCCUCUAAGCAUCAGGUAACAUCAAAUCGUACCCCAAACCGACACAGGUGGUCAGGUAGAGAAUACCAAGGCGCUUGAGAGAACUCGGGUGAAGGAACUAGGCAAAAUGGUGCCGUAACU
This 1487-nucleotide ribosomal RNA is filed under the name Salmonella enterica subsp. enterica serovar Schwarzengrund. Its description in RNAcentral is "partial 23S ribosomal RNA". It matches the Rfam family "Bacterial large subunit ribosomal RNA", at positions 346 to 1735 of the family's 2925-position model. The record is from RNAcentral. Lineage: Bacteria; Pseudomonadati; Pseudomonadota; Gammaproteobacteria; Enterobacterales; Enterobacteriaceae.